This is a long non-coding RNA of Ruditapes philippinarum (Manila clam), 440 nucleotides long. RefSeq lists it as uncharacterized. The record is from RefSeq and is a predicted model, not a curated record. The transcript is spliced from 2 exons. NCBI's taxonomy places the organism in Eukaryota, Metazoa, Mollusca, Bivalvia, Venerida, Veneridae.
CUAUUAAUAAUUAUUAAUUGAUUAAUUAGCAGCUUUAGGUCUACUGUAACCCAAUUUAUAUUCGCGAAUACAAAUUUUCGCGUUUUGCCGAGGUCGGACAUAUUUGCGAAUAUUAAUUUCCGCGUUUUCUUGAUUUCCGAAAAAAAAUAUUCGCGGAUUGGAAAGUCUGAUGGGGCCGUAAAAUCCAUUAGCCGACUAUUAAUCUUCAAUAAUUGAGUACAUUAAGGGAUUUCAGAAUAAUGGAUGCACAACAUUUACCAUAUAUAGGUUGUUAUUACAAGUUCAGAUAUUUACAAAUUCACUGAUAGAUGUUAUUAUACUAUUUUAUCAAAAUUGAAUGUCUCACAAACACAAUUUCAAAUAUAGUUAUAGAUACCAUUUCUUUGCAAAACAUCAUAAAAUAAUCAAUGUUAUAUUGUGUUUUUUCUAUUUCACAGCUA